RNAcentral lists this ribosomal RNA (395 nucleotides) under uncultured bacterium. Its description in RNAcentral is "partial 16S ribosomal RNA". It matches the Rfam family "Bacterial small subunit ribosomal RNA", at positions 523 to 918 of the family's 1533-position model. The record is from RNAcentral.
AUACGUAGGUGGCGAGCGUUAUCCGGAAUUAUUGGGUGUAAAGGGUGUGUAGGCGGGACUUUAAGUCAGACGUGAAAAUUAAAGGCUCAAACAUUGACCUGCGUUUGAAAAUGAGGUUCUUGAGAGUGGGAGAGGUAAACGGAAUUUCUGGUGGAGCGGUGAAAUGCGUAGAUAUCAGGAGGAACACCGGUGGCGAAGGCGGUUUACUGGACCACAACUGACGCUGAGACACGAAAGCGUGGGGAGCAAACAGGAUUAGAUACCCUGGUAGUCCACGCUGUAAACGAUGAAUGCUAGGUGUGGGGUACGCAAGUAUUCCGUGCCGCAGCAAACGCAUUAAGCAUUCCACCUGGGGAGUACGUUCGCAAGAAUGAAACUUAAAGGAAUUGACGGGG